CUGUAGCUCUCUCCGUCCAAAGAUCGCGAGAAGCUAUUGGGAGGUGGGGCUGUUUUCACCCCCGGGGGGGCGGGGCUUUUCCGCCAAAAUUAAUUAAACUGGGAAACGGAGGCGUGGGCGCCUUUGUGGCGGUGAAGAGCGAAAGAGGGGUUCCUGGUUCUGGGGGAACUUGCUUUUAUAGCGCCCUCUACCGAGAACAGAGGCGACGUGUUUAGCAUCCCCGUUGACGAUUGUAUGCCCUGCCUGUUCCCGUCGGUAACAUACUCACAGGACAUUCUCUCAGCAUGGACCACCACCACUGCAGACGGAGUAGCACUAUAAUGCAGCCUGUCUUAACAGAGGUUGUUUCGAGCCUAGGGAAUCAGUACUGGCUUUCCAGAAAGACCUGCUGUGGUCUUCUUCACGUAAUCAUCAGUCCUGAGUCUACUAUUUGCAAGAAGAUGUCACUGAAGGACACUCAAAGACAAAUAAGGGCGAGUCUGCAAAAGUCAAUGAAAGCAUUCUUUUAGAAUCAACUGAGAUAUAGAAUCUGCAAAAAAAGAGACAACCAGGAAGAGGCCAAGAAUAUCUCUGCAUAGAAUUAAAAUCUGUCUUUCCUGCGACCUGUUUAGACAGGCAUUCCUGGAAGGGUAGUAUGUUCAUCUUUAUGUCCCUGGUAUCUAAGACAGUUCUUAAUAUAUCAAUAAAUAAUUACUAACUUCUUGGACAAAUCCAUGUAUCAUCUGA
Molecule: long non-coding RNA, 726 nt
Organism: Ailuropoda melanoleuca (giant panda)
Lineage: Eukaryota; Metazoa; Chordata; Mammalia; Carnivora; Ursidae
Exons: 4
Source: RefSeq, a predicted model, not a curated record